GUCCAUGUCUGAAGAAGGGCACAGCGAGUCAGACUCAGGGAAGGAAGGUCCAUGUCUGAAGAAGGGCACAGCUAGUCAGACUCAGGGAAGGAAAGUCCAUGUCUGAAGAAGGGCACAGCUAGUCAGACUCAGGGAAGGAAGGUCCAUGUCUGAAGAAGGGCACAGCUAGUCAGACUCAGGGAAGGAAAGUCCAUGUCUGAAGAAGGGCACAGCUAGUCAGACUCAGGGAAGGAAGGUCCAUGUCUGAAGAAGGGCACAGCUAGUCAGACUCAGGGAAGGAAGGUCCAUGUCUGAAGGAGGGCACAGCUAGUCAGACUCAGGGAAGGAAGGUCCAUGUCUGAAGAAGGGCACAGCUAGUCAGACUCAGGGAAGGAAGGUCCAUGUCUGAAGGAGGGCACAGCUAGUCAGACUCAGGGAAGGAAGGUCCAUGUCUGAAGAAGGGCACAGCUAGUCAGACUCAGGGAAGGAAGGUCCAUGUCUGAAGGAGGGCACAGCUAGUCAGACUCAGGGAAGGAAGGUCCAUGUCUGAAGAAGGGCACAGCUAGUCAGACUCAGGGAAGGAAGGUCCAUGUCUGAAGAAGGGCACAGCUAGUCAGACUCAGGGAAGGAAGGUCCAUGUCUGAAGGAGGGCACAGCUAGUCAGACUCAGGGAAGGAAGGUCCAUGUCUGAAGAAGGGCACAGCUAGUCAGACUCAGGGAAGGAAGGUCCAUGUCUGAAGGAGGGCACAGCUAGUCAGACUCAGGGAAGGAAGGUCCAUGUCUGAAGGAGGGCACAGCUAGUCAGACUCAGGGAAGGAAGGUCCAUGUCUGAAGGAGGGCACAGCUAGUCAGACUCAGGGAAGGAAGGUCCAUGUCUGAAGAAGGGCACAGCUAGUCAGACUCAGGGAAGGAAGGUCCAUGUCUGAAGAAGGGCACAGCUAGUCAGACUCAGGGAAGGAAGGUCCAUUUAUAACAGAGGGCACAGCUAGUCAGACUCAGGGAAGGAAGGUCCAUGUAUAACAGAGGGCACAGCUAGUCAGACUCAGGGAAGGAAGGUCCAUUUAUAACAGAGGGCACAGCUAGUCAGACUCAGGGAAGGAAGGUCCAUGUAUAACAGAGGGCACAGCUAGUCAGACUCAGGGAAGGAAGGUCCAUUUAUAACAGAGGGCACAGCUAGUCA
This is a long non-coding RNA of Oncorhynchus keta (chum salmon), 1159 nucleotides long. RefSeq lists it as uncharacterized. The transcript has 3 exons. Lineage: Eukaryota; Metazoa; Chordata; Actinopteri; Salmoniformes; Salmonidae. The record is from RefSeq and is a predicted model, not a curated record.